Molecule: ribosomal RNA, 432 nt
Filed under: uncultured bacterium
Lineage: Bacteria
Description: partial 16S ribosomal RNA
Rfam family: Bacterial small subunit ribosomal RNA
Source: RNAcentral
ACGAACGCUGGCGGCAUGCCUAACACAUGCCAGUCGAACGAGACCUUCGGGUCUAGUGGCGCACGGGUGCGUAACGCGUGGGAACCUGCCCUUAGGUUCGGAAUAACUCCCCGAAAGGGGUGCUAAUACCGGAUAAUGUCUUCGGACCAAAGAUUUAUCGCCUUUGGAUGGGCCCGCGUUGGAUUAGCUAGUUGGUAGGGUAAAAGCCUACCAAGGCGACGAUCCAUAGCUGGUCUGAGGGGAUGAUCAGCCACACUGGGACUGAGACACGGCCCAGACUCCUACGGGAGGCAGCAGUGGGGAAUAUUGGACAAUGGGCGAAAGCCUGAUCCAGCAAUGCCGCGUGAGUGAUGAAGGCCUUAGGGUUGUAAAGCUCUUUUACCCGGGAUGAUAAUGACAGUACCGGGAGAAUAAGCUCCGGCUAACUCCGUG